UACGUAGGGGGCAAGCGUUGUCCGGAUUCAUUGGGCGUAAAGAGCGUGUAGGCGGCCAGGUAGGUCGGUUGUGAAAACUGGAGGCUCAACCUUCAGAGGUCGACCGAAACCAUCUGGCUAGAGUCCGGGAGAGGAGAGUGGAAUUCCUGGUGUAGCGGUGAAAUGCGUAGAGAUCGGAAGGAACACCCAAGGCGAAAGCACUCUGCUGGGCCGACACUGACACUGAGAGACGAAAGCUAGGGGAGCAAAUGGG
This 253-nucleotide ribosomal RNA is filed under the name uncultured bacterium. RNAcentral's name for it is "partial 16S ribosomal RNA". It matches the Rfam family "Bacterial small subunit ribosomal RNA", at positions 524 to 776 of the family's 1533-position model. The record is from RNAcentral.